RNAcentral lists this ribosomal RNA (500 nucleotides) under uncultured Campylobacterota bacterium. Its description in RNAcentral is "bacterial SSU rRNA". It matches the Rfam family "Bacterial small subunit ribosomal RNA", at positions 74 to 595 of the family's 1533-position model. The record is from RNAcentral. Lineage: Bacteria; Pseudomonadati; Campylobacterota.
CCUAGCUUGCUAGGUGGAUUAGUGGCGCACGGGUGAGUAAUAUAUAGAUAACGUGCCUCUUAGUCUGGGAUAGCCAUUGGAAACGAUGAUUAAUACUAGAUACUCCUUCUAACUCUAAUGUUAGUCGGGAAAGUUUUUCGCUAAGAGAUCGGUCUAUAUCCCAUCAGCUAGUUGGUAGUGUAAGAGACUACCAAGGCAAUGACGGGUAGCGGGUUUGAGAGGAUGAUCCGCCACACUGGUACUGAGACACGGACCAGACUCCUACGGGAGGCAGCAGUGAGGAAUAUUGCACAAUGGAGGAAACUCUGAUGCAGCAACGCCGCGUGGAGGAUGACGCAUUUCGGUGUGUAAACUCCUUUUAUAUGUCAAGAAAAUGACGGUAGCAUAUGAAUAAGCACCGGCUAACUCCGUGCCAGCAGCCGCGGUAAUACGGAGGGUGCAAGCGUUAUUCGGAAUCACUGGGCGUAAAGGACGCGUAGGCGGGAUGCCAAGUCUGAUGU